Molecule: ribosomal RNA, 538 nt
Filed under: Candida albicans
Lineage: Eukaryota; Fungi; Ascomycota; Pichiomycetes; Serinales; Debaryomycetaceae
Description: eukaryotic LSU rRNA
Rfam family: 5.8S ribosomal RNA (bases 181-334)
Source: RNAcentral
GUAACAAGGUUUCCGUAGGUGAACCUGCGGAAGGAUCAUUACUGAUUUGCUUAAUUGCACCACAUGUGUUUUUCUUUGAAACAAACUUGCUUUGGCGGUGGGCCCAGCCUGCCGCCAGAGGUCUAAACUUACAACCAAUUUUUUAUCAACUUGUCACACCAGAUUAUUACUAAUAGUCAAAACUUUCAACAACGGAUCUCUUGGUUCUCGCAUCGAUGAAGAACGCAGCGAAAUGCGAUACGUAAUAUGAAUUGCAGAUAUUCGUGAAUCAUCGAAUCUUUGAACGCACAUUGCGCCCUCUGGUAUUCCGGAGGGCAUGCCUGUUUGAGCGUCGUUUCUCCCUCAAACCGCUGGGUUUGGUGUUGAGCAAUACGACUUGGGUUUGCUUGAAAGACGGUAGUGGUAAGGCGGGAUCGCUUUGACAAUGGCUUAGGUCUAACCAAAAACAUUGCUUGCGGCGGUAACGUCCACCACGUAUAUCUUCAAACUUUGACCUCAAAUCAGGUAGGACUACCCGCUGAACUUAAGCAUAUCAAUA